This 72-nucleotide transfer RNA is filed under the name Campylobacter curvus 525.92. RNAcentral describes it as "tRNA-Gly". It matches the Rfam family "tRNA". From Rfam's summary of the family: Transfer RNA (tRNA) molecules are approximately 80 nucleotides in length. Their secondary structure includes four short double-helical elements and three loops (D, anti-codon, and T loops). The record is from RNAcentral. Lineage: Bacteria; Pseudomonadati; Campylobacterota; Epsilonproteobacteria; Campylobacterales; Campylobacteraceae.
AUAGCUCAGGGGUAGAGCACAACCUUGCCAAGGUUGGGGUCGCGAGUUCGAAUCUCGUUUCCCGCUCCAUCU